This 254-nucleotide ribosomal RNA is filed under the name uncultured bacterium. Its description in RNAcentral is "partial 16S ribosomal RNA". It matches the Rfam family "Bacterial small subunit ribosomal RNA", at positions 524 to 776 of the family's 1533-position model. The record is from RNAcentral.
UACGGGGGGAGCAAGCGUUGUUCGGAUUUACUGGGCGUAAAGGGCGCGUAGGCGGCCACCGCAAGUCGACUGUGAAAUCUCCGGGCUUAACCCGGAAAGGUCAGCCGAUACUGCGGGGCUAGAGUGCAGAAGGGGCAACUGGAAUUCUCGGUGUAGCGGUGAAAUGCGUAGAUAUCAAGAGGAACACCUGCGGCGAAGGCGGGUUGCUGGGCUGACACUGACGCUGAGGCGCGAAAGCUAGGGGAGCGAACGGG